Molecule: ribosomal RNA, 503 nt
Filed under: uncultured bacterium
Lineage: Bacteria
Description: partial 16S ribosomal RNA
Rfam family: Bacterial small subunit ribosomal RNA
Source: RNAcentral
AUUGAACGCUGGCGGCAGGCUUAACACUUGCAAGUCGAGCGGGGUGAUGGUGCUUGCACUAUCACUUAGCGGCGGACGGGUGAGUAAUGCUUAGGAAUCUGCCUAUUAGUGGGGGACAACAUCUCGAAAGGGAUGCUAAUACCGCAUACGUCCUACGGGAGAAAGCAGGGGAUCACUUGUGACCUUGCGCUAAUAGAUGAGCCUAAGUCGGAUUAGCUAGUUGGUGGGGUAAAGGCCUACCAAGGCGACGAUCUGUAGCGGGUCUGAGAGGAUGAUCCGCCACACUGGGACUGAGACACGGCCCAGACUCCUACGGGAGGCAGCAGUGGGGAAGAUUGGACAAUGGGGGGAACCCUGAUCCAGCCAUGCCGCGUGUGUGAAGAAGGCCUUAUGGUUGUAAAGCACUUUAAGCGAGGAGGAGGCUCUUUUGGUUAAUACCCAAGAUGAGUGGACGUUACUCGCAGAAUAAGCACCGGCUAACUCUGUGCCAGCAGCCGCGGUAA